UGAGAAACCCGAAAGAUCGAAGGAGGAGACUCAUCGUCAGUGUGAUUAGCUACCAUGUGAUAUUAUGAUGAAUUGGAAUUUAUUUUAAUUCACAUUAUUACUGUGGCUGUGUCUAAUUACGUCGGCGUGCACUUCUCCUCUAGUAGAACGUCGCGACCCGCUGAGUGUCGGUUUAAGGAUCAAGUUUGUCGACUGUAUCGUCGCUUUUUGCGUUACGUGUACAGACAACUAAAAUUCCCAAUCGACUGCUCGGCGGUAUAACUUAAAGGUAUCAAGCCGCACUUGAAUGCGUUUAGACUUGUCGCAAGCUUUAUCAUAUUUAAUUAUAGUCCUGGAUUGCGGACCUAGUGCCGUACCUGGGAGUGAUUAGCUGUUGGUUGACAAUGUUCUCAAACUGGCUUAUGCAUUAUGCAUUUAUUGCAAAUGAUACCUGUCAGCGACGCUAUUGCUUUGGGUACUUUCAGGACCCGUCUUGAAACACGGACCAAGGAGUCUAACAUGUACGCAAGUCAUUGGGAUUAUUUAAACCUAAAGGCAUAUUGAAAGAGAAGAUCGGUCUUGUGCCGAUUUAGGGAGGAUAGGCCUCUCGCAAAAAGGCUUCGCACUCCCGGGGCGUCUCUUAAAGUCAUUGCGACUUGAGGUGCACCCAGAGCGUACACGUUGGGACCCGAAAGAUGGUGAACUAUGCCUGGUCAGGAUGAAGUCAGGGGAAACCCUGAUGGAGGUCCGUAGCGUAUCUGACGUGCAAAUCGAUCGUCGGAACUGGGUAUAGGGG
RNAcentral lists this ribosomal RNA (775 nucleotides) under Hadronotus pennsylvanicus. RNAcentral's name for it is "Gryon pennsylvanicum partial large subunit ribosomal RNA". It matches the Rfam family "Eukaryotic large subunit ribosomal RNA", at positions 386 to 923 of the family's 3401-position model. Lineage: Eukaryota; Metazoa; Arthropoda; Insecta; Hymenoptera; Scelionidae. The record is from RNAcentral.